This 6344-nucleotide long non-coding RNA is filed under the name Linum usitatissimum (flax). RNAcentral describes it as "long non-coding RNA (LUSI_LNC004801)". Lineage: Eukaryota; Viridiplantae; Streptophyta; Magnoliopsida; Malpighiales; Linaceae. The record is from RNAcentral.
CCUCCUUCUUACCUAUCUUGAAGCAGAGUGGAUUUCGUUGUUCUUAUCCCAUUUUAUUGGGAGCACUAAACAAUGGAAGGACAUAUAUUGAGAGGGGAAAGAGAGAGAGAGAGAUCGAGGGAGACUCCCUCCCUGAUGUCGGGGAGCUUCUACCAUUUCGAUCCAGGAAAGAGAAGCUGCGAAAAACCAUAGAGAAUGGUGACCGAUGCACAGGGCUCAACGAAGUUUUGGGAGCCAACGUUUGGCGGAGGAAAUCGAAACAAGAGUAGCCCGGAAGAGGAUUUGGAUCUGUCAGCGACUAUGGUGGUAUUCAGACCAGCGUCGGAGAUCGAGGGACUUUGGGAAAGAGACGACUUCACGGAAGAGGGCGGUGGCAGAGUUCGUCGAUUUGAAAGAAGUUCCGAGCUCAGGGUGGCGCGUCCCAGGGCGUGGUCAGGCAAGAUGACGGCUGCGCUCUGGUGAGACUACAGAAGGACUGGCCGAAGGUUUCCGCGAGGUUAGAAUCAGUUUCCACGAAACCCGGAGUUUGCCGGAUUCUGGAGAUGGCGACCUGUCGCCGGAGAAGAAAUGUGACUGAAAUGCAAGUCUGGAAAGUUUAGUGACCAUUUUGUGAUUUUGGUUAUUCUUUUAAAAUAUGCUUAUGUAGUUGUGAACUUUUAGAUGGUUUCGCCGGAGAGCUUUGGGUGACCAACGCUGCGUUUCUGCCCAACAAGUUGUAGUUUGUCCCAGACAAGUAAUUGGAGCACAACUCGACUGUUUUACCUCCAAAUGACGUACCGUCAAAAGCCGUGGAUUCGUGGCAGCGAGAGGAAUCUUCUCGAACACUUUUAUGAGAUUUCGACCCAUCAACCAGGUGGGUGAUUUAAGGGGGCAAUAGGUUAAAUUAAGUUUUAAACAAUUAAAAACACGUAAUUUCAUGUCGUGAUUCCAUGUUAUGAAUCGAUGAUUAAGUGACCAUGCUAGGUUAUGUGGUGAUAUUGUGUGAUUGACGCAUUUAAGUUUAUGACAAUGAUUUUCAUGAUUAAGUGAUUACCUUAUGUUACGCAAUUCAUGUGAUGAUUAUGACUAUGUGUUGUUAGGCUAUGUUAUGAAAUUACACGAUUGAUUAAGUAAUUACCUUAUGUUAGGUAAUUCAUGUGAUGGUUGAGUGACUAUCUUUUGUUAGGCUACAUUAUGAAAUUACUCGAUUGAUUAAGGGAUUACCUUAUGUCUGGUAAUUCUUGUGACGGUUAAGUGACUAUCUUCUGUUAGGCUAUGUUAUGAAAUCACUCGAUUGAUGCCCCUAAUCGUAUGUCAAUGUCUUCAUAAUUAAGUGGUUAUCCUAUAUCAUGCCAGUCAUGUUACGAUUUGACGGCUAUGUUAUGUUAGGCUAAGUCAGGUUACAAUUUCCUUGACCAUGUGCAAGUUAUCCCUUUUAACUACGUUAAAGCAAGUCAUGUGCCCUAUGCACCCGCGACUUUUCAAAGAUGUAUGACAACGAUAUUUUGGGUAUUUACUAGAAGAUGUUGUCGAAGUCUUCAUGGAUGACUUCUCUAUUUAUGGAGAUUCAUUCUCGAGAAGGUGCUAGCGAGGUAUGAGGAGACCAACUUAUCUCUAAGUUGGGAGAAGUGCCACUUCAUGGUGGAGAAGGGUAUCGUGCUAGACCAUAGGGUCGAGCUAAGCUCCAAACUAUCUCUCAGCCCCCCCCCCCCCCCCACACAUUGUGAAUGUUAAAAUUGUGCGUAGCUUCUUAGGACAUCCAGGUAUUUAUUGUCAAUUUAUUAAGGAUUUCUCUAAAAUUACAUUAACUAUGAUUAGGUUGUUAGAGAAGGAUUUGCCAUUCGUAUUCGAUGAUAAGUGUCUGCAGGCAUUUGAAUCCCUCAUGAAGAAGUUGCCGACUGUGUCGAUACUGGUCUCCCCACAUUGGGGAGCCCCUUUUGAACUGAUGUGUGAUGCUAGUGAUUUUGUAGUUGGAGCAGUUUUAGGACAAAUGAGAGAGAAGAGUUUACAUUCAAUCUACUUUGCUAGUAAGACGCUUAAUGAUGCGUAGAGGAACUAUAUAACUACGGAGAACGAGCUCUUGGUGGUUGUCUCCGAAUUCGACAAGAUCAGGUCCUAUCUAGUGUUGUCUCAUACUAUGGUUUUUUACUGACCAUCUGCUCUUAAGUAUCUUUUAGCUAAACAUGAUGCAAAACUGAGAUUGAUUUGAUGGUCUUAUUCCUUCAAGAGUUUGACAUAUCUACCAAAGAAAAUGAGGGCGUAGAAAACCAUCUUUCGGGCCUUGGAGGCCCUCUCCAAGGUCGACUUGCUGAAGCAGAAAUCAAUGAGUAGAAGUCGGGAGUUCUGACACCCCGAAUUUCAGUUUGAUUGAAAUUUUGGUUUGAUUAAAAUCUUACUCACUAAGUAGAAGUCGGGAGUUCUGGCGAUGACUCACGAAUAUGUUCGGGGCAAGGUAGGGGAGUGAACAACGGGACAACUGGAUGCCGUCCAAAAGAGUAAAUGAGCUACACAUUCCGGUGAGAGGCAGAAAAAUUAUGUUUGUUUAUAAUAUAAGCAUAAAAAUGAUUCAUUGGGAGGGCAAGACGUUUGGAGAAGGUUUUGUCGGCGGAGGAUGUCCAGGCAGCGACGGCAACGUUAGGAGGAGCUCCGGCGAUGAGAGAUCGCGUUCCAAGAAAGUUAGAGGUCGCUAGAGUUGCUCCCGGAUUUUGGGUUUUGUCGCCGGCGACGAGCCUAUUCGCCGAUGAAGAAGAGGGAUCCAACUACAGUUUCCAAAAGUUAACUGCCAGUUGGUAAUUCUCCCAGUUAGUUGUGAGUUUUUCUUCCGUAGUUCUCAACUUUUGGAUGGUUUAUAGUUAGAGGACUAGCAAGUUUCAUAAUGUUGCAAAUAAGUAAAUGGAGCAUAACUCGAUCGUUUGACCUCCAAGCAAUGCACGGUUAGAUGCUAUGGACUGUGUCAGCAAGAGGAAUCAUGUCAAAUCAAAAUUAGAGAUGUAGCUCUUCAUAAGAUGUAGGGGUUCAGGAUUACUUUUCUGCUUUAAGCGUAGAACUAUAAUUAGGUUAUCAGGAGAUCAAUGAUUGGAUUCUCAGGACUGUACAAAUGUUGUGAUUUAGAGCCGGGUUCUCAGGCUGUAUAGUAGCGUGUCAUCUACUGUACAUAUAGUUGUUUAUUUUAGAGCAUAAGUUCACGACGAUUGAAAUGUGUGUGUGAUUCACAGUUCAUAUUCGGAUAUGAUUCUGGUUUAGCUAAAUUAGGCCACGUUUAUGCAUUGGUCACCCACCCAUGGAUUGUACAACCCUCAGGAUUCAUUCAGGUUCAGACAGGACGUGAUUAGUUAACCUUCAGUGUCGCUCUCACGACUUUUCAGGGUGGUUUCAUGGUCUGAUUCACCAUGAGGCUAUCCGCUCAUAUCUAUGGGUGGUUGACGUUAGGAUGAUGCCUACAGGACCAAAGGGUCGCAUUAUUAGUUUCAGUGUUUAGAUAAAAUUCUUGUUCUAUCCUCAGUAAAGCCUCGGUAAAGUCUCAGUACAGGCACAGUAAAGUCUCAGUACAAGCGUAGUAAAGUCUUAGUUCAGUUUGAGUUCUAUGCAAGACUAGUUAGCCACUUAGUUCUUAUCACUGACCCCUUAGAUAUUGUUUUCUUGGUGUAUCUGUGUGUGUUUAGUCACAGGUAUUGGAGUUGAUGGUGAGAAGAGAGCUGGUAAGGGUUUUGAUAUCAAUGAUAUUAGUUUGAUGUAUUUUCAUACUAGAGUUGUAUCUCUUUUGAUUUGUUGUAUUUUGGGAUCCUAGAUCCUAGUUAGUCAGUUUUAAUAAUGUAUUCCAGUUUAGCUUUUAAUGCUUGAUUAGUAGAUUGGAGUUUAGUUACGGUUCAGGUUGAAACUCGAGUAGGAUUCUUUGGUUGAACCAACAGUUCGACCAGGACUCCUAGGGUGGGGUUUCAUAGAGAUCUUCCUAGAUGAGCAUCUUUUCCUUUUAGAAGAAGCAGAGGAAGUCUCGGAGCAUCACCCCAACAAACGCGCAUGGUAUGCCGAGAUAGCAAACUUCCUUGUUGCUGGGAUAUUUCCAGAGGAUUACACUCAUCAGCAGCGAAGGAAACUGAUUUUUGACGCCAAGCAUUACAUCUGGGAUGAUUCCUACCUCUUCCAUUUGGGGUCUGAUGGAGUAAUCAGACGUUGUGUAACCGCGCAUGAGUCGCUCAAAAUCAUGGUUUGCUGCCACACUAAUCCCUCUAGGGACAUCACAGUGGAAACCACACUGCUCGUAACAUUUUAGAUGCAGGUUUCUAUUGGAGGACAAUUUUGAAGGAUUGUGGACAUUUUGUGAAAAACAGUGAUCCAUGCCAACGUUCAGGUAACAUUUCAUAUAGGAAUGAGAUGCCAAUGGCUCGUUACCUGUAGACAUUUUUUAUGUGUGGGGAAUUGAUUUUAUGGGUCCUUUCCCACAGUCCCAUGGUAAUAAGUACAUUCUCAUUGCUGUGGAUUAUGCGUGAAAGUGGGCAGAGGCGCAAUCACUGCCUACUGAUAAUGCUAGGACGGUGUGAAACUUCAUCACUCGCCUUAUCAUACAUUUCGACAUCCCCCACCAUAUCAUAAGUGAUAGGGGUACUCACUUUUAGGGUCAAUUCGAUCGAGUUUGUCAAAAAUUUGGCGUAACUCAUCGAUUGGCCACCGCUUACAAUCCAUUGGAAAGGGGUCAAGCGGAAGUGACGAAUCGUGAAUUCAAGCGGAUUCUUGAGAGGAAAGUCGAUCAGUCUCACAAGGAUUUGUCAAUUCGGCUCGAUGAAGCUCUAUGGGCUUAUCGAACCUCUUUCAAGACUUCCAUCGACACUUUGCCGUAUCGACUAGUUUAUGGCAAAGCUUUCCAUUUAUCGGUCGAGCUUGAGCAUAAGGCGUGGUGGGCCAUGAAGAUACUGAACAUGGAUACUAGUCUCGCAGCUUUUGAAAGGAAAUAUCAGCUCUUUGAGCUAGAGGAGUACAAGUUUCACGCUUAUGAGAGGUCAUGGCUGUACAAGGAGAAGAUGAAACACAUCCACGAUGCAAAGCUGCAAAGUGUUAAGGAAUUCGUGAAGGGAGAUAAAGUGCUGCUUUACAACUCUCACCUUCGGGAAAAUUGAAAUCAAGAUGGUUGGGGCGUUAUGAAGUCACGAAAUCUUUCCCCUACGGGACUGUGGAGAUCACACAUCCAGAUCAAGGGACAUUGAAAGUCAAUGGUCACCUUCUCAAGCUCUAUCUUGGUGCCAAGCCCAGCGAAAGAUUCGAAGUUCAAUAAUUCGAGGAUCCUCAAUAAAAGGCCAUGUGUCGUCUAGCUCAAAGACGUUAAAGAAAGAGCGCUUCAUGGGAGGCAGCCAAUGUCUGAAGUCAGUCUUUUCCAUUUUCUUUGUGUCUAAUUGCAUGUUUAGGUGUUAGAUCGAGUCUUGAACAUGAUACUUGAGUCCCUUGCCCGUCCCCAGUCAAUUGUACGAAGUGAGUUGAUUUUUGCUUGAAGGGAUGAAAGACUGUGUUCGUUUGUCAAAGUUCGCGCUAUGAAAUGUCAAUACUGGCGCUAUGACCAUAGCGGCAACUUUGACCUUCUAUAGCGCCAAAUCUGAUAGUGUUCUCUGGAAGCAUUUUUUCAAAAACGUCAAUAUUGGCGCUAUGAAAUGUCAAAGUCAGCGCUAUAUCCAUAUUGCCAAUAUUGACAAGUCUAUAGCGCCAAUGUUGAUGCCGAAAUCGAAAUAGUUCCCCCUCCCUCACGAAUUUUGCUCAUAUUUUUCACAUCUUCCCCACUACCGUCAAACACCAAAGAAAACCCAGUGGCUGCCAUCGAUUCUCCCCGUCUCCUCGUUGCUGCCACACCUUCGCUGGUCACCGACGGCAACCGCACUACCACCCGAUCAAUUUGCAUCCAUUUUGAGUGUGCUUUAGAGCUUGUUUGGUGCAAUUUCGCCCGGUUUCAUCCAAACUUUUGAAAUUGAUUGUUGGUGCUCUGUUUGUCUAUUCCAAUCAUGGUGAAUACAAGGUACUACCCCUGAAUGUAUAUGCCUAGCUUUGUCUUUGAUUGCUUUGCCCCGAAUUGGUCAGAUUUGUGAGAUUGAUGAUUAGGUUGAAGAACCGUAAUUUUUCGAGUUUGGGGUCUUGUAAAAUUGAUGAUGCUAGAUUGAAAUUGAUAGGAUGCCAGUGAUAUGAUUUUCCCCUUGAAAUUCAUGAUUAGGUUGUCAGAAUGAUGUUUUUUUGGAUGUUUUAAUUGUCUUGCAUUGCUUGUAUGACUUUUUGGAUUCAUUUCUCCAGGCUUAUUGCUCGUCUCAACACCUCUUAUAGUCGAGACGGAGAUUCAUCUUCUAAACCGGAGUCACAACAACAACCACGUGCCAUGGAAAGGGACACUGAGG